This 236-nucleotide long non-coding RNA is filed under the name Vigna radiata. RNAcentral's name for it is "long non-coding RNA (VRAD_LNC012112)". The record is from RNAcentral. Lineage: Eukaryota; Viridiplantae; Streptophyta; Magnoliopsida; Fabales; Fabaceae.
UACUUCUCACCACAUGGUUCAACCUCUCUAAGUGAGUUUGAUUGACCAUUGAAGUGUCAGAAUGACUCCCAAGGCUGAGCUCCUACUUUCCUUUUAAAACACUAAGAAUCUCACCGAGAGAUUAUACACAGAUGGAACUUAGUUUACUUCUACACAGAUGGAACUUACUUUACCACUUGGAUCGUACUUUCAUCACUUUAUAAUCAUAUACUUUUCAAACAUAAUAUCAAUAACAG